This 370-nucleotide unclassified non-coding RNA is filed under the name Rhodotorula toruloides. The record is from RNAcentral. Lineage: Eukaryota; Fungi; Basidiomycota; Microbotryomycetes; Sporidiobolales; Sporidiobolaceae.
CACAGAACACAAUGGCAGCCAUCCACCACCUCCGUCACCGCGGUCUCUACACCUUCGGCGCCCUCUCCUUCAUGGCCGGCGCCUACGCACGUCUAGCCUACCAACGCACUCUGACUCGACCGGGCGGACUGGCUGUGGACGUUACGAGGAGCGGAGGAGGGUGGUAGGAGACUCUCGCUGAAGGAUGUGGGGAUCAGGAGGGGUCGCAAUCUCCCGGUGACCCCGACACCCCAAUGAAGUCGAACGACCGCCUCGAUCCGACUCCUCAAGCAUUUCCCAACGUUCUGUAUUUGGUCUCGCGCUGCGCUUCCCUUCUCUUGGUUCUGUUGAUUGUCCCUCACAGUUCUUGCAAAUCAUUCGUUCUGUCCCA